This 444-nucleotide ribosomal RNA is filed under the name uncultured bacterium. Its description in RNAcentral is "partial 16S ribosomal RNA". It matches the Rfam family "Bacterial small subunit ribosomal RNA", at positions 339 to 795 of the family's 1533-position model. The record is from RNAcentral.
CUACGGGUGGCUCCAGUGGGGAAUAUUGCACAAUGGGCGCAAGCCUGAUGCAGCAACGCCGCGUGAGGGAUGAAGGCCUUCGGGUUGUAAACCUCUUUUGGCAGGGAAGAAGCGAAAGUGACGGUACCUGCAGAAAAAGCACCGGCUAACUACGUGCCAGCAGCCGCGGUAAUACGUAGGGUGCAAGCGUUGUCCGGAAUUAUUGGGCGUAAAGAGCUCGUAGGCGGUUUGUCACGUCUGCUGUGAAAAUCCAAGGCUCAACCUUGGACUUGCAGUGGGUACGGGCAGGCUGGAGUGCGGUAGGGGAGAUGGGAAUUCCUGGUGUAGCGGUGGAAUGCGCAGAUAUCAGGAGGAACACCAAUGGCGAAGGCACAUCUCUGGGCCGUAACUGACGCUGAGGAGCGAAAGCGUGGGGAGCGAACAGGAUUAGAUACCCGCGUAGUC